CCUACGGGGCGCAGCAGUGAGGAAUAUUGGUCAAUGGACGCAAGUCUGAACCAGCCAUGCCGCGUGCAGGAAGACGGCUCUAUGAGUUGUAAACUGCUUUUGUACGAGGGUAAACGCAGAUACGCGUAUCUGUCUGAACGUAUCGUACGAAUAAGGAUCGGCUAACUCCGUGCCAGCAGCCGUGGUAAUACGGAGGAUUCAAGCGUUAUCCGGAUUUAUUGGGUUUAAAGGGUGCGUAGGCGGGCGGAUAAGUUAGAGGUGAAAGCCCGAGGCUUAACUUCGGAAUUGCCUGUGAUACUGUUGGGCUAGAGAGUAGUUGCGGUAGGCGGAAUGUAUGGUGUAGCGGUGAAAUGCUUAGAGAUCAUACGGAACACCGGUUGCGAAGGCAGCUUACCAGGCUACUUCUGACGUUGAGGCACGAAAGCGUGGGGAGCAAACAGGAUUAGAUACCCCGGUAGUC
This 460-nucleotide ribosomal RNA is filed under the name uncultured bacterium. RNAcentral's name for it is "partial 16S ribosomal RNA". It matches the Rfam family "Bacterial small subunit ribosomal RNA", at positions 338 to 795 of the family's 1533-position model. The record is from RNAcentral.